GAGGUGGGACUAAGAGAAGAAACCAG
RNAcentral lists this non-coding RNA (26 nucleotides) under Cricetulus griseus (Chinese hamster). The record is from RNAcentral. Lineage: Eukaryota; Metazoa; Chordata; Mammalia; Rodentia; Cricetidae.